UAAGUGCUUCCAUGUUUGAGU
This 21-nucleotide non-coding RNA is filed under the name Mus musculus (house mouse). RNAcentral also lists the same sequence under 1 other name. The record is from RNAcentral. Lineage: Eukaryota; Metazoa; Chordata; Mammalia; Rodentia; Muridae.